This is a long non-coding RNA of Ornithodoros turicata, 184 nucleotides long. RefSeq lists it as uncharacterized. The transcript has 3 exons. Lineage: Eukaryota; Metazoa; Arthropoda; Arachnida; Ixodida; Argasidae. The record is from RefSeq and is a predicted model, not a curated record.
AACAUUUUGAACGUGCCACGGAGGAUCAAGGCAAAAAACGAGAGCAAAAAAAGGUGCACGCUGAAGGCGGAAAUGAAGCAUGAUCUGGCUUGCAUCUGGUCAUGAAGAAAUUGCUGACACGUUAGUUGCAGUCCACCUCCACCAACAGGGUGGAAAACAAAGGUCGCCAUUCCGAUUAGCUGCU